GGUGAGGUGGCAGAGUGGUCGAAUGCGCUGCCUUGGAAAGGCAGUGUACGUUUAUGCGUACCGUGGGUUCGAAUCCCGCCCUCACCGCCA
Molecule: transfer RNA, 90 nt
Filed under: Kangiellaceae bacterium
Lineage: Bacteria; Pseudomonadati; Pseudomonadota; Gammaproteobacteria; Kangiellales; Kangiellaceae
Description: tRNA-Ser
Rfam family: tRNA
About the family: Transfer RNA (tRNA) molecules are approximately 80 nucleotides in length. Their secondary structure includes four short double-helical elements and three loops (D, anti-codon, and T loops).
Source: RNAcentral